This 497-nucleotide ribosomal RNA is filed under the name uncultured bacterium. RNAcentral's name for it is "partial 16S ribosomal RNA". It matches the Rfam family "Bacterial small subunit ribosomal RNA", at positions 28 to 507 of the family's 1533-position model. The record is from RNAcentral.
GAUGAACGCUGGCGGCGUGCCUAAUACAUGCAAGUCGAGCGAACGGACGAUACUCUUGCUUCUCUUAUGUUAUCGGCGGACGGGUGAUUAACACGUGUAUAACCUACCUUUAAUUCUGGGAUAACUUCGGGAACCCUUAUCUCAUACCGGCUAAUAUUUUGAACCUCAUGGUUCUUUAGUGCUUUACGUUCUUGCUGUCUCUUCUAGAUGUUUCCGCGCUGCAUUAGCUAGUUGGUAAGGUAACGGCUUACCAAGGCAACGAUGCAUAGCCGACCUGAGAGGGUGAUCGGACACACUGGAACUGAGACACGGACCAGACUCCUACGGGAGGCAGCAGUAGGGAAUAUUAGGCAAUGGGCGAAAGCAUGACGGAGCAAAGCCGCGUGAGUGAAGAAGGUCUUCGGAUCGUAAAACUCUGUUAGUAGGGAAGAACAGAAGUGUAAGUAACUGUGGACAUAGUGACGGUACCAAAACAGAAAGCAACGGCUAACUACGUG